UACGAAGGGGGCGAGCGUUGCCCGAAUUUACUGGGCGUAAAGCGCACGUAGGCGGCUUCAUAAGUCUGGUGUGAAAUCUCACGGCUCAACCGAGAGGCUGCACCAGAUACUGCGAAGCUCGAGGACGGGAGAGGAGAUUGGAAUUCCAGGUGUAGCGGUGAAAUGCAUUGAUAUCGGGAGGAACACCAGUGGCGAAGGCGGAUCUCUGGCCCGUUGCUGACGCUGAGGUGCGAAAGCUGGGGGAGCGAAAGGG
Molecule: ribosomal RNA, 253 nt
Filed under: uncultured bacterium
Lineage: Bacteria
Description: partial 16S ribosomal RNA
Rfam family: Bacterial small subunit ribosomal RNA
Source: RNAcentral